Molecule: small nuclear RNA, 105 nt
Filed under: Peromyscus maniculatus bairdii (prairie deer mouse)
Lineage: Eukaryota; Metazoa; Chordata; Mammalia; Rodentia; Cricetidae
Source: RNAcentral
GUGCUGGCUUUGGCAGCGGAUAUGCUGAAAUUGGAACAAUGCACAGAAGAUCACUAUGACCUACACAAAGAUGACCCACAAAUUCAUGAAGUGGUCUACACAUUU